GACGAACGCUGGCGGCGUGCUUAACACAUGCAAGUCGAACGGAAAGGCCCUGCUUUUGUGGGGUGCUCGAGUGGCGAACGGGUGAGUAACACGUGAGUAACCUGCCCUUGACUUUGGGAUAACUUCAGGAAACUGGGGCUAAUACCGGAUAGGAGCUCCUGCUGCAUGGUGGGGGUUGGAAAGUUUCGGCGGUUGGGGAUGGACUCGCGGCUUAUCAGCUUGUUGGUGGGGUAGUGGCUUACCAAGGCUUUGACGGGUAGCCGGCCUGAGAGGGUGACCGGCCACAUUGGGACUGGGGUGCGGCCCAGACUCCUACGGGAGGCAGCGGUGGGAAAUAUAGCAAAAUGGGCGGAGGCCGGAUGCAGCAACGCCGGGUGCGAGAUGACGGCCUUCGGGUAGUAAACCGCUUUCGCCUGUGACGAAGCGUGAGGGACGGUAAUGGGUAAAGAAGCACCGGCUAACUACGU
This 467-nucleotide ribosomal RNA is filed under the name uncultured bacterium. RNAcentral describes it as "partial 16S ribosomal RNA". It matches the Rfam family "Bacterial small subunit ribosomal RNA", at positions 28 to 506 of the family's 1533-position model. The record is from RNAcentral.